Bacillus sp. FJAT-27231 is the source of this 97-nucleotide non-coding RNA. Lineage: Bacteria; Bacillati; Bacillota; Bacilli; Caryophanales; Bacillaceae. The record is from Rfam.
GAAAGCCGUAUACGCCGAGAGGUGUACGUACGGUUUGGAGGAGAGCACAAGGAAACCUAACAUAGUAAUAUGUCAAGGCGCUAGGUGCUUAUCCUAC